GACGAACGCUGGCGGCGUGCUUAACACAUGCAAGUCGAACGGAAAGGCCCUGCUUUUGUGGGGUGCUCGAGUGGCGAACGGGUGAGUAACACGUGAGUAACCUGCCCUUGACUUUGGGAUAACUUCAGGAAACUGGGGCUAAUACCGGAUAGGAGCUCCUGCUGCAUGGUGGGGGUUGGAAAGUUUCGGCGGUUGGGGAUGGACUCGCGGCUUAUCAGCUUGUUGGUGGGGUAGUGGCUUACCAAGGCUUUGACGGGUAGCCGGCCUGAGAGGGUGACCGGCCACAUGGGGACUGAGAUACGGCCCAGACUCCUACGGGAGGCAGCAGUGGGGAAUAUUGCACAAUGGGCGGAAGCCUGAGGCAGCAACGCCGCGUGCGGGAUGACGGCCUUCGGGUUGUAAACCGCUGUCGCCGGUGACGAAGCGUGAGUGACGGUAAUGGGUAAAGAAGCACCGGCUAACUACGUG
This 468-nucleotide ribosomal RNA is filed under the name uncultured bacterium. RNAcentral's name for it is "partial 16S ribosomal RNA". It matches the Rfam family "Bacterial small subunit ribosomal RNA", at positions 28 to 507 of the family's 1533-position model. The record is from RNAcentral.